RNAcentral lists this ribosomal RNA (434 nucleotides) under uncultured Ruminococcus sp. Its description in RNAcentral is "partial 16S ribosomal RNA". It matches the Rfam family "Bacterial small subunit ribosomal RNA", at positions 341 to 792 of the family's 1533-position model. Lineage: Bacteria; Bacillati; Bacillota; Clostridia; Eubacteriales; Oscillospiraceae. The record is from RNAcentral.
ACGGAAGGCAGCAGUGGGGAAUAUUGCACAAUGGGCGCAAGCCUGAUGCGGCGAUGCCGCGUGAGGGAAGAAGGUUUUCGGAUUGUAAACCUCUGUCAACAGGGACGAAAAUGACGGUACCUGUGAAGGAAGUUCCGGCUAACUACGUGCCAGCAGCCGCGGUAAUACGUAGGGAGCAAGCGUUAUCCGGAAUUACUGGGUGUAAAGGGAGUGUAGGCGGGACUGUAAGUCAGAUGUGAAAUAUGCCGGCUCAACUGGCAGACUGCAUUUGAAACUGCGGUUCUUGAGUGAAGUAAAGGUAAGCGGAAUUCCUAGUGUAGCGGUGAAAUGCGUAGAUAUUAGGAGGAACAUCAGUGGCGAAGGCGGCUUACUGGGCUUUAACUGACGCUGAGGCUCGAAAGCGUGGGGAGCAAACAGGAUUAGAUACCCUGGUA